RNAcentral lists this ribosomal RNA (305 nucleotides) under uncultured bacterium. RNAcentral's name for it is "bacterial SSU rRNA". It matches the Rfam family "Bacterial small subunit ribosomal RNA", at positions 332 to 655 of the family's 1533-position model. The record is from RNAcentral.
CGGAUCCUACGGGGGGCAGCAGUGGGGAAUAUUGCACAAUGGGGGGAACCCUGAUGCAGCGACGCCGCGUGAAGGAAGAAGUAUUUCGGUAUGUAAACUUCUAUCAGCAGGGAAGAAAAUGACGGUACCUGACUAAGAAGCCCCGGCUAACUACGUGCCAGCAGCCGCGGUAAUACGUAGGGGGCAAGCGUUAUCCGGAUUUACUGGGUGUAAAGGGAGCGUAGACGGCCAGACAAGUCUGAAGUGAAAAUCCAGCGCUUAACGUUGGAAGUGCUUUGGAAACUGCCGGGCUGGAGUGCAGGAGG